AACACAGCAAAGGAAACUGGUUGGUUUCCAGAAAGCACCGGGCUGCAGUAACAUCACAGAGAGAAAGCAGCCAGCACUGAGUGUGUCCUCUCAUCAGCCUGAGGAAGGCACACCUCGCAUCACUGUCCUGCAGGGAAAUCAGGCAGCUCAGUGUUUACCUCUGGCUGUUGUGCCCUCGGAAAACAAUUCAGAGGAACUUGUAGGGAUGGAGUCUGAAUCGCAGCAGUGGAAGUGAUGCAACGGGGACACUGCGAAGCACGUGAGCGACGAGGCAAAGGCUCUGUGUGAACCUGAUUGGAGUGAUAUUUGAAGUGAUCUAAGAAUACUUCAGCUGUAUUGUCAAG
RNAcentral lists this long non-coding RNA (344 nucleotides) under Gallus gallus (chicken). RNAcentral describes it as "long non-coding RNA NONGGAT001466". Lineage: Eukaryota; Metazoa; Chordata; Aves; Galliformes; Phasianidae. The record is from RNAcentral.